CGACAUUCAAAAGUUACCAUAUUCACAUGGCUUAUAUACAACAACAUCUUCAAAAUAUCAUCCACAUAAGUCUAGUCUAUACAUGCCAUACAAAUUCCAAAACAUAAUAGUACCAAAACGAUAGAUAGUGUGACGAGUUGCUGACGAUCCCCGAGCAAGUGGCUGGAGUCAACGAUCUAAAAACAGAGAAACAUAACAAACGGAGUAAGCUUCCACAAGUAUAGUAAGUUUUAAGCAAUACAAAUAAUUAAAUUAAAUUAUAAAUCGAUCAAUCAAAUUCUCAAGUGACAUUUCUUAGGUAUAUUGCCAUUUGGCCGAAUAUAUAUACAAACAUUUAAUGUAUAUUUAGCAUAUUAACUUCACUUGAAUCUGAAUUCAUAUAACAUAAGUAAAUCAAAUAUUUUCACAUAACUUCACAUUUUGGUCGAAUGUAUCAGGAUCAUAUACAUAUAGUCUUAAUACUUAUUCACAUAUACAUCAUAUUACAUACUUGGGAUUCAAUCCCCAAUAAAGCUCAUAUAAGUACAAGAUACAUACCUGGCCAACUUAAGGUAUUACACGAUUUCAAUUGUCGUUUUGUCAUGAAAUCUCAAAAUUUUAGAUUUAUAUCAAAUAACCGGCAAUUAGCCUGCUAGGUUUAAAACCCGAAUUCAUCACCGGCACAAAGCCUCUAGACUUUAAGUCUGAACUCAUUCACCGACAUUACGCCUGCUAGGCUCGAAGCACGAUAUUAAUUCACCAGCAUUAUAGCCUGCUAGGCUCGAAGCCUGAUAUUAACUCACCGGUAUUAUAGCCUGCUAGGCUCGAAGGCUCGAAUAGUACCGUACGAUAAUCAAAUCAACAAGUUUCAUAUAACAUAAUCAUAUCAAUUAGGUACUAGCAUCAUGUGAACAUAUAUAAUUAUACAUCUCAAACACUUUUCUCUCAUCUCAUUUUCACACUUAGCAUUCGAUAGCUUAUGCAUAACAUUUCGCUCACAUUCAUUUCAAACUUAUCAUUCGAUUAUAAAAGCACAUUGCAUAUUUAUCAACAUGUUAUACUUGCCAUUAGGCCAUAUAAGCAUGAUACAAUACACCAUCAUUUCAUCUUUAACAUUCGGCUAAAUCCAUACCUUACAAGGAGUACCUAAUUCACAUAAUAUAUCAGAUUAUAAUCAAUUGUUAUUUACGUUUGAUUACUUAAAACUUACCUCAGAUGUUAUCGAACGAUUACAACGGCUAUUCGAUUACUUUCUCCUUUCCCCUAUCCAACUUUGGUCCUCUAAGUUCUUGAGCUAAAUCAAACAAAUUUACUUCUCAAUCAAACACAUACAUACGGCAACCAUAUACAUUUCAAAAACCAAUUCAUUCGUAUCAUUUGUCCACUUAAGUCUAUCACCAUUUCAUUUUCAAAUUUAUGUACUUUGUAAGUCACAUUCGAACACAUUCGGUACUAUGCAUCUUUUCAAAUAUUUCUUUUAACAUUAAACUCAACUUAUAACUUUCUUCUAAUUAAAAACAUUCAACACCAACUAGUCAUGCUUACAUGUCAUAGCCGAAUAUCAUUUUAGACAUUUGAGAAAUCAUUUCUCAACUCAACUUAUAAUUGUGAAUCUCAUUCAAAACAUCCACACCAAUUUAUUAUACAAUUAACCAUAGCCAAAUACUAAAUCAAAUAGAUAUUUGUUCACAUUUCCAUAACACAUAUUUAUCAACUAGUCCAUAUAUUAGCUUUUAGUCAUUAGAGUGACCUAUUUAACUUUCAAGCAUUCAUUUCUAAUUUUAAUUAAACGAUGCCGAAUGCCAUUAACUACUAAUGCCACACACACAUAUGCAUAAAAUUCAUCCAUACAUAACCUAUAGCUCAUUCGGCCAUUCAUCACUCAAACCAAUCAAAGCUUCAUAUCAAACUUCCUUGGCCGAGUACACAUAUAAGCACAUAAUGCACAUAUAUGCUCAUUUGUCUAGCUCAACUUCACCUAUCUACCAUUACUCAUAAAAAGAACAUGAAACAACCAUUUCCUUCAAUUCAAUUUAUGACCGAAUGCUCACAACACAAUAAUUUUCAAAAUUUAAACAUGGGUUAACUAAGCAAUGCUUUGACCAUGCUAAUUUCGCAAGAAUAUCAAGAAAAUACAUGGAACAUACCUUUGAAUCAUGCUAAGUAAAUGACAGAAUGUGCUUGAGCAUUUUCCUCUAUUUUUCUCUUAAUUUCGGCUAUGAAGAACAAAGAUGAACAAGUUUUGUCCUUUUCCUCAUUUUGUUAUUUUAUUUAUCUUUAUUUUAUAAUAUAAAGCCAUUAAAUAUUUUAAUGCUAAUUUAAAAUGCAUAUAUUGUUUAUCAUUAUCAUUAUGGCCAGCCACUACAAAUUAAAGUGGAAAAUUUGACAUGCAAAUCCACUUAUUUUAAACCAUAAAAUAUUUGGCCACUACAAAUUAACCUAUCACAUUUUCAAAAUUUCUCACAUAAGUCCUAUUUAAUAAUUUCACAUACAAAUGACAAAAUCAAAGUAUGAAAUUUUCAUACAUACACUUUCACAUAUAAUAAGCAUAGAAUAUAACAUUUAAUUAUUUUUUUGUGAUUCGGUUUUGUGAUCCCGAAACCACUUUUUGACUAGGAUCAAAUUAGGGCUGUCACAUCAUUGCCCUCUUCUUAUGUCAUUGGAUAAGAAAAAUAAAACGGCUCACAUAUCCUCGUUUCGGUUUGAAGCAUCAUGGUUAUUAGAAGACUCCUUUAAGAAGAUGAUUAUAGAGUCUUGGUAGAAUUUAACAGGGCUAUUAACAGAUAAGUUGGAGGGGUUAAAACAGAGAAUUCUUCUAUGGGCAAACCAAAUAAAUAAUGCAAGAAGAGGUAUCAAGUAGAAUAUAAAAAACAAUGGGAAUGCUUGCUGGAUGAGGAUAUAAGUGAAGAAAACUUGGCUAAAAUCAUUGAUACGAAAAUUUCUCUCAAUCUAGAAAUUGACAAAGAUAAAGCUUACUGGAAGCAAAGUGCACGUGUUAAUUGGCGGAGAUUAGGAGAUAGAAACACAACAUUCUUUCACAAAUGGGCCACACAACGACAUAAAACUAAUGAUAUUCGUAGUUUGCAAGAUCAUAAUGGGGGGAACAUGGAUGAUGAAGAUGGGAUACAAGGAUUAUAAAGAAUUAUUUUUAGGAUUUGUUUGCGUCUUUAGGAAUAAGUUAUACGGAGAUGAGUUUAUAGGGAGUGCAGAGAUGUAUAACUGAAGAUAUGAAUGCACAACUUACAGUAGAAUAUACGGCUGAAGAAAUAUGGGCAGCAUUAAAGGGAAUAGGUCCUACAAAAGCCCUCGGUACCGAUGGACUUCCAGUAAUUUUCUUUCAAAAAUGUUGGAACAUAGUUGGGACAGAGGUAACCUCUUUUUGUUUGGAGAUUUUAAAUCAGAGGAAAGAUUUAGAGAGUAUUAAUGGUACGAAUAUUGUUUUAAUUCCUAAAACCUCACAGCCCAUUGAUAUGAAGAACUUUAGGCCUAUUGGCCUGUGCAAUGUCCUCUACAAGAUAAUAGCUAAAGUAGUGGCUAAUAGAUUUUAAAAUGUCCUAAAAGUUUACAUUGAUAAAGCUCAAAGUGCAUUCGUUCCAGGCUGACUUAUUACGGAUAAUGUGCUUGUGGCUUAUGAGAUCAUGCAUACGUUGAAGAAUAAAAGAGUAGGGAAAAAAAGGGCAUGUGGCACUUAAACUGGCCAUGAGCAAAGCCUAUGAUAGGGUCGAAUGGGAAUUUCUUAGGGUUAUGAUGGAGAGAAUGGGUUUUGCACAAUCUUGGGUGGCUUUCAUAAUGAAGUGUAUUUCGACGGUCUCCUAUUCAGUUCUUUUAAAUAGGAAAAAGGGAGAAGUUUUCAAACCAAUAAGAGGACUCCGACAAGGGUACCCCCUCAGUCCCUAUUUAUUUCUAAUUUACAGUGAAGGCAUGUCCUCAAUUAUACACCCAGCUCUAAUAAGAAAGGAAAUCAAAGGAUUGAAAGCUAGCAGACGAGGACCUAAGAUCUCACACAUUCUCUUUGCAGACGACUGCAUCAUUUUUGGUGAGGCAAUAUUUUUAGGAGCUUGAUAGAUCAAGAAUAUUUUUGCAGAAUAUGAAUCCUACUCAGAUUAGUGUGUGAACUUUGCAAAGUCUAUAAUAUUCUUUAGCACGAAUACUACAGAAACAAAUAAAUUGAUAGUUACGGGCUUGCUAGGCAUGAGGAGAUCAACUGAUAUUGAGAAAUACCUAAGUCUCCCUAAUUUGAUAGGGAAGAAAAAGAAAACUUCUUUCCAAAAUUUAAAGGAUAGGAUGAAAAGAAAAAUUGAUGGAUAGAGUUCUAGGUUCUUGUUACAAAGUGGAAAAGAGGUUUUUAUUAAAUUAGUUUUGCAAGUGAUUCCAACUUAUUCUAUGAUGUGUUUUCUUUUGCCAAAAACUUUAUGUGAGGAAAUGGAAUCAAUUAUUGCAAGGUACUGGUGGCAGAAGGGUCAUGGACGAAAAGGAAUACAUUGGUGCAGUUGGAAGAAUAUUUGUGAAUUAAAAUAUGAAGGAGGAUUGAGUUUCCAGGAUUUGGCCAAGUUUAACGUGGCUCUACUUGCUAAGCAAGGUUGGCGGUUAGUUGAGCAUCCAGAUUCUUUAGUAGCACAGGUUUUAAAAGCAAAGUACUACCCGACCACUAAUUUUCUACAAGUAGGGCUAGGAUGUAGACCUUUAUACAUGUGGAAAAGUAUUUGGGCAGCAAAAGGUCUUAUUAAAGAAGGUUUGGGGUGGAGAGUUGGCACUAGGGAAAAAUCUUAAUUAAUGAGGAUGCGUGGCUCCUUCGGGCAGCUAAUUACAGAAUUUGUUAUCCUAUUCUUAAUACUGAUAUUACUACUGUCAUAUCAUUAAUUGUUUGUAAUAAUAGGAGGUGGAAGGAAGAACUGAUUCGCAAUACCUUUAAGGCAAACAAUUCAGACAGAAUCUUAUGAAUCCCACUAGCGUUAGACGAGCAUACUGAUAUGGUCAUCUGGUGUGCAGAGCGCUCGGGUAAGUUCACAAUUUGUAGUGCUUAUAGACUAUUACAGACCUAAGAUCAUACAUCAGACUCUACUGCUACACAAAAUACAACCAAACUAUUUUACAAACAACUCUGAACACUCCAAAUACCAAAUAAAAUUAAAAUUAUGCUAUGGAGGAUAACACGAAACUAUUCCCAUGAUGGGCAACUUGUUUCAGUGAAGAGUGGUCCGAGAUUAUAAGUGCCCUAGAUAUAAAGCUUGCUCUGAGAAUCUAUGGUCUACAUUCGUUGGGUGUCUUAUAGCAAUAGAGUUAUGGAGAAGAUUAGAUUUUGAAUGGAUAAAUCAAGGUGAACCCAGUGGAUGGUUUGAUUGGAUUACAUGGAUUUUUAGUAAAUAUGGAGAAACCCAGCAUCGCGUUUUUGUCUGUGGAAUGUGGGUACUAUGGCUUGACAGAAACAGAAAUUUACAUGAAGAGAAGUCAUAUAAAGGGGAAGAUGCAACAAAUCAUGUUAAAUAUUAUAUUGGCGAAAUUGAUGGAUUGAAUGGGAGACAACCUAAAAUUACCCAGGAAGUUGAAAACUGGAAAGCCUCUGAGAAAUAAAAAAUCAAAAUCAAUUUUGAUGCCUCGUUUGAUAGUAAAAAUAACAUAUCAGCAUCUGGGAUAGUGGCGAGAACUGAAAAUUGUAACAUCCCGAAUUAGGGCCUAGUCGGAACAGUGGUUUUGAAACCACAAAUCUAAAGUAGAAAUAAUUAUUUUAUGAUUAUUAUAAGGUCUAUGAUAUGUUUACAUUCUUGUGUGAAAAUUUCAUGAAGAAAUUUUGUCUAAGGUGCUCAAUUAGACUUUAAGGACUAAAUUGAAUAAAUUGUAAAAUAUGAGUUCUAGAAGUUUUCAGUAUGAAAUUGAAUUGGAGUUUUAAUUAGAGGGUCUUAAAUAGCAAUUUGACUCAGUUCUAAAAUUUUGGACAAAAAUGGACUUGAAUAGAUAAAAUUUUAAAGAAAGGCUAAAAGGGCAUUUUGGUCAUUUGGUCAUUAAAUGGACUAAUGUCUAAAUAAAUAUGGGAAUGUGUUGAAUUGGAUGUACAUUGUAUGGUUAGCUAUGCAUAUUGAGAUACUUGAUGAAAAUAGAAAAUCCUGGUUGAAUAAAAAGGGGAAUCCGAUGGAUAAACCAUGGCUUACAUGACUUGAGAUCCUGCAUGUAUUGCAGAAAAGGAUUUAGCCCGGACGGGUAAUCCGUUGAUCUCAAAUAUAGAAAAUGAUCUAGCCUGGACGGGUGUUCCUUGAGUGAUCGAGCCUCCCGAAGAAUAUGUGUGCAUUAAGAAUUUAGCCUGGACGGGUAAUCUGAUUAGGAUCUGAAUUUAGCCUGGACUGGUAAUUCAGAUCCGAUCUCAUUUGGGUAUAUGUCGUUGUAGGGUAUUUAGCCUGGACUGGUAAUCUCGACAAUACUCUAUGAGUUUAUAUUACUGGGGAUUUAGCCUGGAUUGGUAAUCUCGCCGUAAGAUGUAAGGUUUGCGGGAGUGCGUAUUUGAAAUGAUCACUUGUAUGACUUGACGGUAAAUGGAUUAUCCAUCGAGAUUUUUGAGAAAUUCAACGGGUAUUAUAAUGAAUAAUGCGAUGAAAGUCCCGAGAUGGGCAUGGUGAUAAAGGUAAAGUUAAUUGAUAUGCUACGGAUAUGUACAGGUACGUACAUUAUACUCAUAAGUGAUGCCUUAUUGAAAUGUGAUAAAUGAUGAGUAAGCAAAUUCAUGCAUAUGUAUGCGUAUACAUGAUAAACAAGUAAAAAGGUUUGAAAGAUGAACCAUCCUUAUGCUUAUGAUUAUGGAUUGUGUUGUAAUAUCAUGUUAAUUUACAUUGUGUAAUGAGAUAUGGGUUUCAUGAAAUGAUGAGUUCAUGAUCAAUAAGCUUAUAAUAGUUACUAUGAAUUUGCACUGAAACAGUUUUGGACAGCAAUAAUAGUCCAACUUUGAAAAUCCACCAAAAAUAAUGGAAAUUGAGUUAGAGACUGAAUCAAAUAUGAAAUUAAAGCUUAUUGGGUCUAGUUUCAGUUAAAAGGAAUGGUGCUAGUAAAGGAAUCUCAUAUGAUGAGAUAUUUGAAUUCUUGUGAGACAGUGUCAGAAUGAGUUCGAAAUCCCCUGUUUUGACUUGGGAAAAUUACUAGAAAUUGUACAAAAAUAAUUAUGAGUUAGAAUCAUAUUAAUGAAAUCCUUAAUGAGUAUAAUUUCAGUAUAAAGAUACGGAAACAUUAUCCGAGUCUCGUACUAUGCGAUAAAUAAAUUUUAGUGAAGAAAGGUAGAAGCUGUCAAACAGUGAAACAUGAGAGAAUUUGAAUAAUAAACUGUACUUAUUGGCUAGACAAAAAAUUCUGGAAAUUUUAUUGUAAGGAGAUAAAUGAGUCUAGUUUCAGAAAAAAUUAAUGAAUCUUAAUUUGGAGUUCUGUAACUCUAGAUAUAAAUAAAUUAAUAACUACGACUCGAGAAAACAGCUUAACCAGAAUAUGAGUAAAAGUGUCAUUAUGGUUGAUUGCCUAAGGAAACAUGUUGUUAUAAUGCUUAUUAUUUUCAUAUGGACUUACUAAGCUUUAGGCUUACUCCCUCCUUUCCAUUUCCUUAGUGUUCUCAGGUUAGCUUGGGGUUGGAGAUCGUCGGAGGCAGCAUCAAACUAUCAAGUUAUCAACUCUAGAGUAUUGUCAUACGUGUAUUAAACACUUUCAAGUGAGUGGCAUGUAUAAGGAUUAGGUUUUACAUUAGAUGUUGUUAUGAUUAGCCAAAUGUACCAGCUUAUAUUGAUCUAUUGUAUAUAGCCAUGAGAUGUGGCUUAUUAUGGUUAUGGCUUGUAAGUCUAAUUAUUCGUGCUAUGGGUUAAUGCAUGUCGUGUGAUUAUAAUUGGUUGCUAUGAAUAAUUAGUAUAACACAUGUAUAUGAUGAAUGUCCUAGAACCAUUCGAGGUGAUCACGGCCAUGGAAUGAAUAUAUGGCCUGGUAGUUAGUUGAAAAUGAUUAAACAUGGACAAUUGUAGAAUGUGUAGAGAUUAAAUGCUGGGUAAUAAACACAUGUAAGACAAUAUGCAAUUUAUUUAUUUGAAUCUUUCUCAAGGUCGAUUAACAAUUAAAUUGAUGCUAUAAGUUAGGUCCAUGAUGUGUAAAGUAUGGGAAAGAAUUAAGGACAACAUAAGGCUUCGAAAAUAGCCUAAGUGUUGGCCAUACGGGCAGAGAACGGCCAUGUUUCUCAGCCAUGUGGAGGACAUGGUCUAGCACACGGGCGUAUGGCUUGACCGUGUGGAUCAAUUUGUUUGGCUAACAUUAUAAAUAGAGAGUUACACUGGCCGAGGAUAUGAGCGUAUUCCAAGCCACACAGGCGUGUGUGACCACACGGCCCAACCCACACGGGCAUGUGACUCUCCAAAGCAAGAAAAUUGGUUAAGUUGUCAAAAGUUUGUCGAAAGUUCUCAGUUCAGUCCGAACCACCCCAAUGCAUGUUACAGGCUUCGAAGGCCUAUUUAAGGGACGAUAUGCAUGUGUUUAAGAUGUUUUAAUUUUGGGCAAAAAUUUUGUGACCUGAUUUUGCAUGUUGUGAAUGUUUAAGUCUGGUAACGCCUCGAACCCUGUCUCGGCAUUGAAUACGGGUAAGGAGUGUUACAAAAAUGAGGAGGUUGAAAUUUCUAAAUGUUACCUUCAUAUAACGGUAGGCACGGCCUUUGACGCAGAAGCGAUUGCCUGCUACGAAGCUGCUCUCACAAGAUUAAAGAUAGGAUACACAAAGGUUGUUAUUGAGAACGACUCCAAGUCCAUCAUCAACAAAUGCAUGACACAAUCGGUGGACAAAUCACAAGUUAGUGCGCAUAUUCGAAAUAUUCGAAGAGAAAAAAGUAAGUUCUAGACCAUUACAUUUCAUUAUGUUCCAAGAUCGGCUAAUCACUUAGCCAACACCAUUGCUACAACAAGUUUGAAGGAAAUGGAGACGAUUUACCUGCUUGGAGAGGUCCCUUGCUACACCAAUAGACAGUGGGAACUGGAUCACCCACGGGAACCUAAUUGAAACGAAGAAGAGGAAAACAGGGAAUGGGGUAUUUGAGAGCGACCCUAAUCAAAACUGUCAGGCCUCAUCUCCAAUGAAAAUGAAAAGUUAUCCGUGUAAAAGGCAAAGUUGGAGACAGGUCAUUCAAAAUGGAUGAGGAUUUUAAGUUUAUUUAUUGUUUUAAUUAGUUUUGGUCUUUUUGCUUCUACUUUUAGCCGUCGCUUUGUUUCUUUUUAGUCUGAUGAUUAGACUAGUGCUUUUC
RNAcentral lists this long non-coding RNA (9221 nucleotides) under Gossypium barbadense (sea-island cotton). Its description in RNAcentral is "long non-coding RNA (GBAR_LNC007436)". Lineage: Eukaryota; Viridiplantae; Streptophyta; Magnoliopsida; Malvales; Malvaceae. The record is from RNAcentral.